AUGCAGUCGAGCGGUAGAGAGGUGCUUGCACCUCUUGAGAGCGGCGGACGGGUGAGUAAAGCCUAGGAAUCUGCCUGGUAGUGGGGGAUAACGCUCGGAAACGGACGCUAAUACCGCAUACGUCCUACGGGAGAAAGCAGGGGACCUUCGGGCCUUGCGCUAUCAGAUGAGCCUAGGUCGGAUUAGCUAGUUGGUGAGGUAAUGGCUCACCAAGGCGACGAUCCGUAACUGGUCUGAGAGGAUGAUCAGUCACACUGGAACUGAGACACGGUCCAGACUCCUACGGGAGGCAGCAGUGGGGAAUAUUGGACAAUGGGCGAAAGCCUGAUCCAGCCAUGCCGCGUGUGUGAAGAAGGUCUUCGGAUUGUAAAGCACUUUAAGUUGGGAGGAAGGGCAUUAACCUAAUACGUUAGUGUUUUGACGUUACCGACAGAAUAAGCACCGGCUAACUCUGUGCCAGCAGCCGCGGUAAUACAGAGGGUGCAAGCGUUAAUCGGAAUUACUGGGCGUAAAGCGCGCGUAGGUGGUUCGUUAAGUUGGAUGUGAAAUCCCCGGGCUCAACCUGGGAACUGCAUUCAAAACUGUCGAGCUAGAGUAUGGUAGA
This 604-nucleotide ribosomal RNA is filed under the name uncultured bacterium. RNAcentral's name for it is "bacterial SSU rRNA". It matches the Rfam family "Bacterial small subunit ribosomal RNA", at positions 55 to 655 of the family's 1533-position model. The record is from RNAcentral.